Molecule: ribosomal RNA, 467 nt
Filed under: uncultured bacterium
Lineage: Bacteria
Description: partial 16S ribosomal RNA
Rfam family: Bacterial small subunit ribosomal RNA
Source: RNAcentral
ACGAACGCUGGCGGCGUGCUUAACACAUGCGAGUCGAACGGAAAGGCCCUGCUUUUGUGGGGUGCUCGAGUGGCGAACGGGUGAGUAACACGUGAGUAACCUGCCCUUGACUUUGGGAUAACUUCAGGAAACUGGGGCUAAUACCGGAUAGGAGCUCCUGCUGCAUGGUGGGGGUUGGAAAGUUUCGGCGGUUGGGGAUGGACUCGCGGCUUAUCAGCUUGUUGGUGGGGUAGUGGCUUACCAAGGCUUUGACGGGUAGCCGGCCUGAGAGGGUGACCGGCCACAUUGGGACUGAGAUACGGCCCAGACUCCUACGGGAGGCAGCAGUGGGGAAUAUUGCACAAUGGGCGGAAGCCUGAUGCAGCAACGCCGCGUGCGGGAUGACGGCCUUCGGGUUGUAAACCGCUUUCGCCUGUGACGAAGCGUGAGUGACGGUAAUGGGUAAAGAAGCACCGGCUAACUACGUG